Arachis ipaensis is the source of this 621-nucleotide non-coding RNA. Lineage: Eukaryota; Viridiplantae; Streptophyta; Magnoliopsida; Fabales; Fabaceae. The record is from RefSeq and is a predicted model, not a curated record.
CAGCAUUGGGGAGGAAGAAGAACUUCCCUAACCCUCAUCAAUCUUCCAACUACCAUAACUCUUCCGUCCAAGCUCCGAUCGCCGCACCGUUCGCGGCCACGCGUCCAGCGCGUUGAGCUCUAUAUUUCUGUCAGAUCAAUUUUAUCAGUUCGAUUUAGCUUCCGGAGCUUAUUGAGCUUGAGUUAUUAUGCGUAUGGGUACGGUAAGAACAACCUAAAUCCUAGUCAAUUUUGAUUUUAUUAUGAAGAAGCUGAAUUUAAAACAUAUAUGUGUAUUAGGUGUGAAUUAAGUUUAUAUAUAAGCAUUGGAACUGAAAAGUGAGUAUUUGGAAGUUUGGUGGUGAUUCAGGCUAAGCUUGUGGCUAGUUUUUCUGAGCUUGAGGGGCUGUGUUGUGACCUUGAGGGGCUGCCUUGGAUUAAAUAAAGUGAUCGGCCAAGAUGUAGGUCGAGAGGCUCCUCGCUAGGCGUCUGGAUUCUGGAAGCGGAGUAGUCCUGGGUGUAUUUUAGGCUUUAUGUUUGUAUAUAUAUGACUCAUGUACUUAGCUUGCUCUCCAAGAAUCUUGUUUAUUUUGUUCCUCAUAGAGGCUAUAGGAGAGUUAGGGGCUUGAUUCUGUAUUCUGUA